GUUCGGAUAGAUCAGACUCUUCGUUGGCCUCGUUUUUAGGUGUUUGAUCCGUGACGUUUCGUCGAAAAAUCACAAGCGCGCAUGCCGUAGGUGUUGGCCUGGUUGCAAGAUCUUGCCGAUUUCAACGUUUUUCCACCUCUUCGGUAAGUACUUGACAUGCCUGGAUUACUGCAAUCAGCACGUUCUUAGCACUUUCUUCUUUGGCUCCCCACCGCGCGCAGGUUGGCGUACGCUGAACUGGACCCUCGCAGCAAGAAUGGCACGUGGGACUGCCUCUGCGAACCCCGCUCCUGGACAACAGCUGGGAGGCUCUGUGUUUAAACGCGUGCACCUUGGACGUCAUGCUCCUGCCUCUGCAAGCCCUUUUGCUGGACGCCAUGUAAGGCCCUCCACUCGAAAGUGUGCACCUUAGACUACACGCUCAUCAAUACCAAGUUCUCUGUCCUUCUCGGCAUGAUUGUAGUGCCAUAUAAUAGUGAGGCAAUAAAUCAUUUUUGCUGGUCA
Long non-coding RNA from Rhipicephalus sanguineus (brown dog tick), 504 nucleotides. RefSeq lists it as uncharacterized. The record is from RefSeq and is a predicted model, not a curated record. Lineage: Eukaryota; Metazoa; Arthropoda; Arachnida; Ixodida; Ixodidae. The transcript has 3 exons.